UCAAACUUGGUCAUUUAGAGGAAGUAAAAGUCGUAACAAGGUUUCCGUAGGUGAACCUGCGGAAGGAUCAUUACCGAACCUUCACGGGGGACCGGGGGCGAGUGCGUCCUGCGCCAUUCGAGCUGCGGACGCGCGAGCCGCCUCCCUCGCAUCCAACCCAAACCCCUGUGCACCCUCUCGUGGCGAGGGGCAGCCGUCCGCGGCUGCUCCGGCCCGCGUUGCAUUGACACACGAUGUUCUUUGUAGUGCAGCUUGCGAGCUUAGACUCGCCUGAAAACAAUGAAACAACUUUCAACAACGGAUCUCUUGGCUCUCGCAUCGAUGAAGAACGCAGC
Molecule: unclassified non-coding RNA, 335 nt
Filed under: uncultured fungus
Lineage: Eukaryota; Fungi
Description: partial contains small subunit ribosomal RNA, internal transcribed spacer 1, and 5.8S ribosomal RNA
Rfam family: Eukaryotic small subunit ribosomal RNA (bases 1-73)
Source: RNAcentral